CGGCUGGGCUGACCUAGUUACAGCGUGAUUGUUAUUCCCCACAGCGUCGAAUGGAGGAGCUGAGGAAGGGAGGGGGGAGAAAGAAACCGAACAGGCUGAGACACUUUCAAAGAUGAGGGAGGCUCAGUGGAAAAUGUAACAUCCAGAGAGCUGUCGUCAGAAAAUGUGCAGGUUUCAUACUCAGGGAAAACAGCUGGCCAUCUGCAGUGUCUUAGUGUUCUGAAUCAACAUUCAUCUGGAAAGAAAAGGACAGAUGGCACAUAAUGUAAUUUAUCUGUGAGGACAAGGUCACAGGUUCUGAUCCACAUUCCCAUAUCUCAUUUUGGGAGAUAACCUGGGAUAACCAAGGAGGUACCUAAAGUUUUCACUCAUGGUUAGAGUGAAUAGAUUAUCUGGAAUCUAGUAAGUAGUAAAUAAGCGGGGUCUCUUUAAUAACUAAUAACUAAUAUGCAUGUACAAAUUCACAUGUCAAACUUAUAUAUUACAUGAUCUACCGUAGCUCUAUCCUGAACAAAACCCUUAAUAAACCCUUUGAGUGCUGUCUUAUUCAACAAUAUGUUCUUACAUCAUUUUUACCAGUAGUUGGUAUACAUUUAUAGGCUGAUAUAAGCUAUAAGAUACAA
Anguilla rostrata (American eel) is the source of this 623-nucleotide long non-coding RNA. RefSeq lists it as uncharacterized. The transcript has 3 exons. The record is from RefSeq and is a predicted model, not a curated record. NCBI's taxonomy places the organism in Eukaryota, Metazoa, Chordata, Actinopteri, Anguilliformes, Anguillidae.